UACAGAGGUCCCGAGCGUUGUUCGGAUUCAUUGGGCGUAAAGGGUGCGUAGGUGGCUGAGUUAGUCGGAUGUGAAAUCCCGGGGCUCAACCUCGGAACUGCAUUCGAUACUGCUCUGCUUGAGCACUGGAGAGGAGACUGGAAUUUACGGUGUAGCAGUGAAAUGCGUAGAUAUCGUAAGGAAGACCAGUGGCGAAGGCGAGUCUCUGGACAGUUGCUGACACUGAGGCACGAAGGCCAGGGGAGCAAACGGG
This 253-nucleotide ribosomal RNA is filed under the name uncultured bacterium. Its description in RNAcentral is "partial 16S ribosomal RNA". It matches the Rfam family "Bacterial small subunit ribosomal RNA", at positions 524 to 776 of the family's 1533-position model. The record is from RNAcentral.